This 1434-nucleotide long non-coding RNA is filed under the name Gopherus agassizii (Agassiz's desert tortoise). RNAcentral's name for it is "lncRNA (ENSGAGG00000009070.1)". Lineage: Eukaryota; Metazoa; Chordata; Testudines; Testudinidae. The record is from RNAcentral.
CUCUGCUCUGUGGAGGCUGAGAGCAGCUGGGGCCCAGGCCUGGCAGGAUGGGGAGGGGCUGCACAUUUCUCCUCCUCGGGCUCCUCCUGCAGCUCCAGGCUCCCUGUGCCGGGCAGGCUGGGGGGGCAGGUGAGUUCCCGGCUGUCCCUGGCCCACGCUCCCAGCCACUGCUCUGGGCUCUCCCCUGCCCCGCCUAGGAGCAAACAAAGGGGGAAAUGCAGAUGUCCCCUGGCCUGGCCCGGCCUGGGAGGUGUCUGCAGCUCAGCCCAGGGCAGCCCCAGCAGAGGUGCUGUCUGUAGCAAAGGGGGGCUCUGUCCCUCCCCCAACUGGCUCCAGCACUGCUGGGUGGUGACCUUGCUGGGGUGGUGCCAGGUGGAGGUGGGCACUGCCCUGAUGCUCUGUACCAGGCUGAGCCGGGGGCUCCUCUCUUAGCCACACAGCGGUAGAAGCCCAGCUGCACGCUGGGAAGAUGAGGCACCAGGGGCCAGCACUGCCAGGGACAUGCCCAGGGACUCCUGCACCUGGCCAGCUGAGGCCCCUCCCCCCCAUCGCGCCAAUGGGGGUGACCCUUUGGCUGCCCAACCUCCUUGUAUUCCAGGGUCCAGCGCACCCCCCUGGUCAGCAGCAUCUAGCCCCACACCUCAGACCUGGGCUAAGAGCACUGAGACGCCCGCAGGGACUGGUACCCUCACCGUGGGGGCCACAGCACCAGAUGAGCCCAGCUGUGGCAGUGGGCAGCCCUGCCCCCCUUGGAGCACCUGCGUGUCCUGGGCUGGGCACUUCUCCUGCCGCUGCGUCCUGGGCUUCUAUCUCAGCCGGACCAUGGGCUGUGUGCCAGCCAGGACGUUCCCAGGGCGCCUCUCCCUGCGGGCCACCGGCCCAGCACCCCCAAGCCCGCUGCCACCUGCCGACCUGCGCAGGGUCGUCACCCAGCUGGAGAGCCUGUUCCAGCCUAUCCUGGGGCAAUUGGACGCUUAUCUGUCCUCCUCUGUCCUGGACCUGCAGCCGCACAGCCAGGCAGUGACCGUCCUGCACAGCUUCUCGGCGCUCUCGUCCGUCACGGCCCGGCAGGUGGACGGGGCCAUCGCGGGGUUCUGGGAGCGGUGCCAGGCCAGUGACCCAGCCUGCAGCUUCCUGCGGGACACCGUCUCCUACCAGAGUCUGAGUCUCUGUGAACUGCAGCCCUGUGACCCCGUCUCCACAGCCUGCGUGUUCCAGGAUGGGCUGGCCCAGUGCCCCUGCCGGCCGGGAUACCACCCCGUCCCUGCCAACGGCCAUGCCUGCGCAGCCUUCUUGCUGGCGCUGGUUGGGGUGUCCUGCGCUGGGGGCGUCGUCCUGCUGCUGCUGCUGACGGCGCUGCUGCUCCUGGGGUAAGACGGCUGCCAUGCGAACGCUCCCUGGUGUCCCUCCCUCCCCCCCAGGGCGAGGGGAUCC